This 397-nucleotide ribosomal RNA is filed under the name uncultured bacterium. RNAcentral describes it as "partial 16S ribosomal RNA". It matches the Rfam family "Bacterial small subunit ribosomal RNA", at positions 523 to 918 of the family's 1533-position model. The record is from RNAcentral.
AUACGUAGGGGGCGAGCGUUGUCCGGAAUGAUUGGGCGUAAAGGGCGCGUAGGCGGCCCGGUAAGUCUGGAGUGAAAGUCCUGUUUUUAAGAUGGGACUUGCUUUGGAUACUGUCGGGCUUGAGUGCAGGAGAGGUAAGUGGAAUUCCCAGUGUAGCGGUGAAAUGCGUAGAGAUUGGGAGGAACACCAGUGGCGAAGGCGACUUACUGGACUGUAACUGACGCUGAGGCGCGAAAGUGUGGGGAGCAAACAGGAUUAGAUACCCUGGUAGUCCACACUGCAAACGAUGAAUGCUAGGUGUAGGGGGUAUCGACCCCUUCUGUGCCGCAGUCAACACAAUAAGCAUUCCGCCUGGGGAGUACGGCCGCAAGGUUGAAACUCAAAUGAAUUGGCGGGG